RNAcentral lists this ribosomal RNA (429 nucleotides) under Gemmatimonadota bacterium. RNAcentral's name for it is "Gemmatimonadetes bacterium partial 16S ribosomal RNA". It matches the Rfam family "Bacterial small subunit ribosomal RNA", at positions 355 to 776 of the family's 1533-position model. Lineage: Bacteria; Pseudomonadati; Gemmatimonadota. The record is from RNAcentral.
UAGGGAAUCUUCGGCAAUGGACGAAAGUCUGACCGAGCAACGCCGCGUGCGUGAAGAAGGUUUUCGGAUCGUAAAACUCUGUUGUUAGAGAAGAACAAGGACGUUAGUAACUGAACGUCCCCUGACGGUAUCUAACCAGAAAGCCACGGCUAACUACGUGCCAGCAGCCGCGGUAAUACGUAGGUGGCAAGCGUUGUCCGGAUUUAUUGGGCGUAAAGCGAGCGCAGGCGGUUUCUUAAGUCUGAUGUGAAAGCCCCCGGCUCAACCGGGGAGGGUCAUUGGAAACUGGGAGACUUGAGUGCAGAAGAGGAGAGUGGAAUUCCAUGUGUAGCGGUGAAAUGCGUAGAUAUAUGGAGGAACACCAGUGGCGAAGGCGGCUCGCUGGUCUGUAACUGACGCUGAGGCUCGAAAGCGUGGGGAGCAAACAGG